Bombyx mori (domestic silkworm) is the source of this 15543-nucleotide RNA transcript. It is a transcript of the gene named lipopolysaccharide-induced tumor necrosis factor-alpha factor homolog, with no coding region annotated. NCBI's taxonomy places the organism in Eukaryota, Metazoa, Arthropoda, Insecta, Lepidoptera, Bombycidae. The transcript has 8 exons. The record is from RefSeq and is a predicted model, not a curated record.
CUACAAUUUAAAGAGUUCGAAAGAUUGUUAUGAGUAACAUUGAAUGUCUGAAUUACGUACAAUUGCAUACAAACUUAUGACUGAAAUUAAGUUGGGCAGAUGGUCUCACUGCUCACAUGGUUUUAAACAGUCGCAGUUCGAAAAUACUAUACAGCAUUAAUGUCAUUAUUGACAACGAGUCAUAAGAUUGUAAUGCAGGUGUCUUUGGUUUAUGUAUAAGCUAUUGAAAAAUACAUUUUUUUUGUUUUUGAAAUACAUAUCUGUUCUGCGUAUUUCAUAAACAAUGGUUAAUUGUUUACGCAUUCACAUACAGUGAAUCGUCUGAGACGGACGUGGUUACAUAUAGAUAGUGUUCGGUAAAACAGUGUGGUAGAAUAAAAUGAAAAUGCCUCUGGUGCAGCAUCAAGGCGAUUUGUCUGGCGUAGACAUAGCAGAAACUACUCAAAACCCGCCGCCAUACAAUAACCAGAUGCAAACAGAUUUAUAUCAUGUCGUUCCCACUGUGCCGACUCAACAGUUCAUCACAGUUCAAGCGCCGCAAAUGGGCCCUAAGCCUGCACGCUAUACCUGCCCAAGCUGCAAAGCGUCCAUCACGCCCAGAGUAGAAUAUGUAUCGGCGACGAAAACCCACCUGUGUGCUUUACUCCUUUGCUGUCUAUGUUGCUGGCCCUGUGCUUGCAUUCCUUACUGCGGCAAAAGCUGCCGAAACGCCACACACUACUGUCCGAACUGCAACGCGUAUAUCGGGAGUUACAUCGGUUAAUCAUCUUAAUUUUUGUACGUUUACGAUUGUUCGUGGCAGCCUACAUGGCGUUUUGUAUUCUGACUAAUCAUUGUGGCUAAAAGUUACGUAGAGUAGGUAUAUGUUACUAAGUAGCUACAUACUGUGCGUUCAUAAAAUUAAUAGAAUUGACGUCAUAAUUAUUAUUGUCUUGAUUCGAAAUUUAAAUGUUUCUAAUGAAUCAUUAUUUUUCAGUCAUUGCGUAGGUACCUAUUUAAAACACAAAAACAAAUGUUUUUGUUUUUGAUUUUUAUGUUCUCUUCAAUUAAUAAGCAGUUUCGUAAAAUUUGUAUUUCUUUCAAAGCUUUUGUUUAAAUCAUACUUUUAAUGAUCUAAAGUCUAAAAUAAUAUAUUUUGAUGGUCAGAGGUUGGUUUAUUAUAAUUUUAACGAGUAAACAUUGAUAGUUUAAUUAUGUGUGGUAUUUUUAAGCAGAAUUUUUGAAAUGUCCUGAACUUUGAUUAUAUAUACGUGUAUAUAAUCAAAGGUCCUGAACGCAUAUUACGUGAUACCUCCACGCUAGUCCUACUUAUUAACACUCUUUACCGUGCAAAAUUCAAACAGACUAAAAAUCUAUAUCAUCAUCAUCAUCAACAGCCCACAGUCGUCCACUGCUGGACAUAAGCCUCUCCCAAUCUACACCACUGAGCCCGGUCUGCUGCUCUCCUCAUCCACUUCUGGCCGGCCACCGUGCGGAGGUCAUCGCACCAUCUAGCCAGGGGGCGUCCCACGUUACGUCUUCCGCUGCGCGGUCUCCACUCGAGAACCCGUCUGCUCCAGCGAUCGUCAGUCCUACGGCAUAUAUGGCCAGCCCACUGCCACUUCAGCUUGCUGACUCUUUGAGCUAUGUCGAUGACUUUAGUUCUCUGUAGAAUAAUCUCAUUCCGGAUUUUAUCCUUCAGAGAAACUCCGAGCAUGGCUCUUUCCAUGGCUCGCUGAGCGACUUUGAGCUGACGGACCAACCUUACUGUGAGUGUCCACGUUUCGGCUCCGUUCAUCACUUUGGUUUUAUCCAUGUUCAUCCGUAGUCCAAUUCGUCGUGAAGAAUCUGCUAAGCCGUUCAGCAUCUGCUGCAGAUGUUGCAACGAUUCCGCCAUGAGAACUAUGUCAUCUGCAAACCGCAAGUGUGAGAUGUACUGGCCAUUAAUGUUUAUGCCCAUCUUUUUCCAGUUCAGCGUCUUAAACAUAUCUUCCAAUGCGUUAGUAAACAGUUUCGGGGAAAUUACAUCCCCCUGUCUCACUCCCCUACGCAAUUGGAUAGGGUUAGACUGCUGAUUCUGUACUCGAACAUUCAUCGUGGCACAGUCGUAAAGGCAUUUCAACACCUGGACAUAGCGAUGGUCUACCUGGCAUCGCCGCAGAGAGUCCAGAACAGACCAAGUCUCGAUGGAGUCGAAAGCCUUCUCAUAAUCCACGAAUGCUAAACACAGGGGCCGAUUAAAUUCUGUGGUCUUUUCUAUAAGCUGCCGCACUGUGUGUAUGUGGUCUAUGGUUCCAUAGCCGCUCCGAAACCCAGCCUGCUCUGGGGGCUGAAAUUCGUCGAACUUUCUUGCCAGGCGAUUUGUGAUGACUCGUGAGAACAACUUAUAGAUGUGGUUCAGGAGAGAGAUUGGUCUGUAGUUCUUUAAAAGAGUUUUGUCUCCUUUUUUGAAAAAAAGUACCACAAUGCUGUUGUUCCACGCCUUCGGAGUUCUCCCGCGGUGAAUGACGUGGCUGAAAAGCUUCCGUAGCUCUACUAAGAGAGGUGGUCCUCCUGCUUUCAAUAGCUCAGUUGUUAUACCAUCAUCUCCGGGGGCUUUUCCAUUCUUGAGUUGUCUCAGAGCCAAUCUUAUUUCGUCCACACUGACGUCCGGCAGCUCAUCGGUGAAAUGGCGCGUGAGUGGGGCUCUACAAUCGUGACAGUUCUGUACAGGACGGGUGGUGCAGGACUCAUACAGCUGACCGUAAUAUUUUUCAAUCUCAGCGAGAAUUCCCAUCUGCGACAUAAUGACGCUACCAUCGGAGGUCUUGAGUUUCGAUAAACGACUUCUCUUAAGCUGCUGGUUAAAUACCUUCGACCCACGGUUUUGUUCAAUGGCUCUUUCAAUUCUUCGAGUAGUGGAGCGUCGAAGGUCACGUCGAACCAAUUUCGUUAUCUGCUUGCUGAGAGCCGAUCGUCCUGACGGAGAGGCGGAUGUGUCCUGACGCCGUAUGGCCAUGAGUCGCAACGUCUCGUCUGAGAGUUCGGAUUUUUUUCCCGUUCGCUUCCCGCUGAAAAAUUUUGCACCCUCUUCCCUCAUGAGUGUGACCAGAUUUUCGAGGUUUUCGUCAACAUCAUCAGUGGUUUCCAAGUUAACAAAUCGAUUUUCCAAGGUUUUAUGGAAAACUUCUGAACCUGCACUGAUUUGGAGCUGGCUAGGUCGGAGUGUAGACUGUAUCAUGCGGUAUCUUUCCAAUCGAGUGUCUAUGCUCAGCGUAGCUCUUACUAGCCGGUGGUCGCUUCCGGUGUUAAACCUGUUGACCACUGAGACAUCCCUAAAUAACCGUUUUUUGUCCGCAAUGAUAAAAUCAAUCUCAUUUUUCGUUACAGUGUCCGGGCUUCGCCAUGUCCAUUUUCUUUGGGGCUGCUUUUUAAAAAAUGAGUUCAUUAAGAAUAGCUCCUCUUGCUCUAGAAAGUUAACGAGCAUUUGCCCCCUAUCGUUCCUGCUUCCAAAUCCAUGUGGUCCCACUCUUGAUUCGUCACACAUCUGUACACCCACUUUGGCAUUAAAGUCGCCCAUGACAACAUUGAAAAAUCUAUAUAUAUAAAAAUAAAUUGCUGUUCGUUAGUCUCGCUAAAACUCGAGAACGGCUGGACCGAUUUGGCUAAUUUUGGUCUUGAAUUAUUCGUGGAAGUCCAGAGAAGGUUUAAAAGGUGAAUAAAUAUGAAAAUGCUUGGAGUUAUAUAAAAACAAACAAUUUUGUUUUUCCUUUGAUAUGUCCCCCGUCGGACGGAUUCGUUUUGUUUGUUUUAAGUUUGUUUUAUACAAGAGCUUAGGUCUUUUAUUUAUCGAUUGAGUCAUUACGAAGUCUGCCGGCUCAGCUAGUUAAGAAUAAAAACGACCCCAUAUUAGUCGAAAAUUACCAACGGUUUUUGUGGUCUACUCCAAAGUAUACUUGCAGAAUGCUUUCCGAGUCGAGUUUCGGGUGGAUAAGUGCCCAUGAGUAAUAUACGUUCAAAUUAAAAAGACGGUUGAUUCUAUUGAUUCUUGAUUUUCAUUGCUAAGUAAUUUCUUAAUUAUUUUAAUAUUACAUAUAGUUACCGUUUAAGUUUUAUGAUGCGUCAUGAGAGUGAUUUUUGUUUUUGUGCUUAACCAAUAAACCAACCAAGAUAUGUAGAUUGUUUGUAUUUGUUGAUUACUGUGAGUCUAUAGAUAUCAUAAAGUAAAUACCGGCGUCCUUUUCUUAUUUUUAUAAUCCUUCAGAGGUGAACUGGAGGAUGCUUUAGAAAUAGGUAGAAUAUUAACACCUACUAGUUUUCUAAUGCGAAUAGUUAAUAUACGCUUCACUCCUCGUAAAGUUAGAGAUGGGGGGCAGAAGGAACUCGGGAAGAAGAGUGUGAUUGAGAAGAGGUAAAUUGCGCAUGAUUUCACGGAAUACAGUAAACGUAUUCUAUACUAAACCUAGCUAAAGAUAUUCGGGGCUCUGUACAAGUAAACGCAAAUAAGUAAUUAAUAGAAACGAAAAAAAAAAUACUAUUACGAACACUUAUCCUUUAUAUAUUGUUUUUAUGUCGUCAAAACUGAAUCAGCUACGAGAUAAAAUUGAUGUAGACGAAGACGAUGUUUUGUUUGUACGUUAAGGCGCAUUUAGCUUAAAAUGAAUUAAGUUUCAAGUAAAGUUUGCAAUGGAAAGCUUUUUUUUGUUGUUUAAUGAUUCUUUUUUAUAUAGACAUGAAAAAGAAAUAUGUUUAAAUGCUUAAGUUGUGUUUAAAAAAAUGUUAAAUUUAUGGAUUAAAUCCGAUAUGUGUAGUAAAAUUAUAAAAUAGCUUGUUUCAUUUUUAGUAAAAAAAAAACAUGUGCUUGCUGUCCUUACUCCCUUCACGAGUAUGCAUUUACAUGACGCAUUAUCUAUAUACAAGAGGUCCCGCAGUAGUCGAAAUUCGACUAUAAUUAAUUAGAGUUGUAAGUUUGUACACUAUUAUGAUUGUAUUUUAUACUUCUAUAAUCACAAAUAUCGCCAAGACUACACUAUAAAAAGUAUUAACAAAGACAAACAAUAUUUAAUCUAUUCUCAAUUUGACGGCAGACGUCAAGAACAAAAGUUUGACAAUAAACAGUAUCCAUGCGUGUGUGCGUCAAAUACAUGGUAUGUAGUGUGUGUAACGUUUUCCUUAUUGAUUUAAUGUAUCUUUUACGCAUUAUUUUAAAAAAAUAUUAGCAUUGUGCACUUCUUCUCUAUAUUCUCUAUAAGUGUGGAAAAUUUCAUACUCCUCCGUCCGCGCAAUUUUCGUAAAAAGGGAUACAAAGUUUUUGCUUCACGUAUUAAUCUAUAUAUUAAUACGUGAAGCAAAAACUUUUCCACACUUAUAGAGAAUGUGGUAUUCGGAGCUAAGCUAGGGCUGGGAGGAGUUUCACACUGAACACCUCUUAUUUUUGUGAUGUAGUCUUCAAAGAACAGAACUAAUCAAGAUCCACUUUUGGGGUGUAAUCUCGCGUUUUUUAUUUCCAAAGUUUCGAAUACUAUACAGUCAUACAAACUGCUAGACUUCAAGAUACUGUAAGGUCGUUCUGUGUGAAAUGAAACGUGAAAGUCUAGAAAUAUAGAAAAAAUAGACGGUAGGUGCACAAUAUUAAAAUCUCACGGCCAACCUAUACCCUGGGCCAGGAAGGUCAAGUACCUGAGAGUCACCCUGGAUGCAUCCAUGACAUUCCGCCCGCAUAUAAAAACAGUCCGCGACCGUGCCGCAUUUGUUCUCGGCAGACUAUCCCAUGAUCUGUAAGCGGAGUAAAAUGUCCUUUCGGAACAAGGAACAACUUGCAGAAGGCCCGUCAUGACUUACGCGAGUGUGGUGUUCGCUUACGCGGCCCGCACAAAUAUAGACACCCUCAAUCCCUACAAUCCCGCUUUUGCGGGUUAGCCGUCGGGGCUCCGUGGUUCGUGUGGAACGUUGAUCUACACGACGACCUGGGUCUCAAUCCGGAAAUACAUGAAGUCAGCUUCGGAACGGUACUAAGGCUAUGCGUCAUGAUAAUCGCCUUAUCUUUGCCGCCGCUGACUACUUCCCGAAUCCUGAUCAGGCAGGAGCCAGUCACCGUCGAUGCCCUAGACACGUCCUUACGGAUCCAUCAGAUCCAAUAACUUUGGCAUUAGACGUCUUCAGCUCCAACACUAGGAGUAGGCUUAGGAACUUCGGUAACCUUACUUGUCGAACUCGACAAAGAGGUCGAUAUUCAACCUAACCCAUGCAUCAGCCCGCUGAGCUCCUCGCCGGAUCUUCUCAACGGGUCGCGAUUCCGAUCCGGUAGUAGAUUCAUUCGCGGAGCAAUUGCUCUUGAGUUGUUAGGUCUCCUUCGUAAGCGUUUGGGCAGUUGUUAGCAAAUCCCACCCCUCCUGGCUGAGCCUUUGCUGUGCCCACCUGUCCUGGUGAAACUGUAAAAACCUCCGGGCCACCAGUAAUCUUACAAUCCUGAAAAAAAACAGGUAUCUCCAUGUUUAUUUCAUCCUCAAAGAAAUCGUACAAUAAUAUAAUGCAAUCGAGACUUUGAUUUCAUGUUAAAAGGUCAUUUCAGGUUGUUUAUAGUUUCAGGUAACAAAUGCAAUACCAGACAACGAAAGUACAGCAUCAAAACAAUGGCUAAAAAUUUAAAAACAACUUUAAAAGUAAAUAACAAUAUAGCAGCAGUUCAUAGCAGUAAUUCUUCGAACAGCAAAAACAAAACAACUUCUCUAAUUAAAUUACACAUCACUUGAACAUUAUGUAAAACAUCAAUCUUUAUUUGUUUUAGAGACUAAAUUACAAUCCCUUAGCUUCUACACAAAAAAACCCACUUUGUAUUUCUUUUUUAUAAAGUGGCUUACGUGGAAGUUGACGUCUCACUUGGUGGUAAGUGGUGGUAAGCCGUUGCUCAUAGACAUUGGCAAUGCCAUGUCGUUAUUCACCAAGUUUUUAAUAUUUAAGCCUUAUUUGAUGAAGAAUGUGUGCGUAGAAUUGCAAAGAAAGUUUCUUUUGCUUAGUUUAGUUAGUUCCUUUAGUUUGCGCCUGGUUAAUAAAACCGAAUCACGAUUGUAUGAUUUGAAUGUGUGUAUUUUUGUGGUUGCUAUCUCCUUAAUUAGGAACUGUUUUUAUUUAGGAUUUAAAAGAUCUAAAACUAGGCAUCUUGUUUUGUUGGGGCCUUUUCUUUCUUCUCCAUCGCUCCCUCAUUGCUGAGGAUCGUGACUCCGUUUGAGCUUGUCGACUGCCAGUCUCCAUCGGUUCCAGUCAGUUUCCUGGUGUAGUGCAGCGCUAAGUGGUCCGCUGGUUUGCUCGGAGAUCUGGUCGGACCAACGUUUGGGGCUCCGGCCUCUAGAACCUUUUCCUUCUACUUUUCCAGUGACCAUCAGAUGUUCCAAGUUGUACACCUCUACGGGCAACGUGGCCAAAGUUGCGCAUUAUACGUUGCAGACAGGUGGCAGACAGGCGUUGAGCGUUCUCUUUUUUAAGCUGUUGUAGGACCGAGAUGUUCGUGCGGUGGGCUGUCCAUGGAAUCCUUAAUAGGCGGCGCUAACACCACAUUUCAAAAGCAUCAACUCUUUUCCAUGUUUCUGCUCCAUAGAAAGCGAUUGGAAAGACAAGUGACUGCACAAGAUGUAUUUUGGCCCUAUUCGAAUCGAGAACUGUCCUUUUCGAUGCGUUCGUUCCCAAACAUUUGCCAUCAUACAAAGUUAUUAUAUUAUAUUAAUUAAGGAGCAAUAUAAAGAGCAACAAUAUAUUGUGUCCUAAAAUCAUUAUGUUCAAUAUGUGGUCCACCUAGGUCCUGGAACCAGCUCAGGGGGGGGUCAUGACCCCCAUAACCCCCCCACCCUGGAUCCGCCCUUGUGAAUGACCAUGUGGUUUUGGACCAUGAAUUGAAUGACCAUGUCUUUUUGGUAAAUGUGAGAAUGGCAUACAAAAUACGAAAUCGCAAGUGCUAUAGUAGAAUUAUUUUGUCCGUGCCGUUUGGCUCAUAAAAAAUCGGAGCGGUGAAGCGAGUAUUUCGCUCUCUCUUCCACUCCCGAGCCUUAGGGACGGGCAUAGUGAGGCGCAUUAUUGUUGUCGAUAAGCGUUUUAGUUUUGUCAUUUUGUGGGUUAGUGAUAAAAAUGAAAGAAAAAAUCACCAAUCGAACACUUACACCACAUAUCGCCACAGCAAGUUAACGAGAACGCCAGAAAUUAACACUUUGUAACUUUUCGGGAUCUAUUCUUAUUUCAGUGAACAAUUUUAACACAUUGUUGAUAAUAACACGUGCUUGUGCUGGUAUAUUUUUGCCAACAAGCAAAAUAUUUGAAUAAAUUCUGCCGUUUUGGUACAAAACAAAGGAGAAGCCAUUGUGUCACUAAAGAAAUUCAGAGAGCGAAUGCACAAAAUCACAUUUCUCUUCGUCAUAAGAACUUUUUAUCGAUAAUGGCGUAGCGCCCGCGCAACAUGCUCACCGCCCUGGACGGGCUAUGUUUUAUGACCCAAACUGAACGGACAAAAUAAUUCUACUAUAUUAAUGCGGUGCGCAUGCGCACCACUACAACCUAACCUAACCUAACCUACGACAUAAUAAUUUGCAAAGAAAAGUAUGUUUUGUUUGUUAUUUAUAUUUUUUAAUUAUAAUAAUUUUCGUUAUUAAAGCCUUUUGUAUUAUGUUUAUUUAAAUACAUUUUUUUUUACUGCAACAACAUCAUUAAUUUAUUUGUAUUUACUGUAACUUUUCUUAAAACAUGAAUGUAAGAGUAUACAUUUACCAAAACGUGAAGGCAAGAGUACACAUUUGCCGGAAAACAUACAUAUAUAUUAUAUUCAGUUCACGUAUACCUAACUUUUUGGCAAAUGUGCACAUUUACCGGUAAAAGUGUACAUUUCCCAAGAGUGUGCAUUUACCGUAACAUAAUAUAAUAUAUUAUACAAGAAUUGCUCGUUUAAAGAUAUCAAAGAUAUCAAUGCUUAAAAGAACGAAUAUGAAUGAACGAAAAAUGCUCUCGAGCUGCCAAUCGAAUGCACGCGAUUACACAUUCAAAAACAGGGGAUCGUCGGACGCGGACGUACGGAAUUGUGUUCGUGCCGACAUUAUAUAUUGCGUGUCGUGAAAUAACAACUAAAAUGGCUAACUUUGAACAUAAAGGAAAUCUGUCUGGCGCGAACUAUGGGCCUCCUCCACAAAAUCCGCCUCCUUACAACUAUCAGCCCCAGCAAGUUCCAUAUGCUAAUGUUCCUAUCGUCCCCGUCGUGGCUCCUCAACAAUUCGUGACGGUUGUGCAAGCGCGACCAAUGGGCCCUGAACCAUCAAGUUUAACAUGCCCCUCCUGUAACGCGGUCAUCGUAACUAGGGUUCAACACGAUGCUUCGAGCAAGACUCAUCUUUUUGCGUUAAUCCUUUGUUUGAUAGGAUGCUGGCCAUGUGCUUGCAUCCCUUACUGCAUGGAAAGCUGUCAAAAUGCUACUCAUUACUGUCCGAAUUGCAACGCCUACAUUGGAACCUAUACAAAUUGAUGAGUUUGUGAUAAAUGCAAAUAAAAAAAAAAAACAUUAUUUCAGUUGGGCGUACAUAUAUCUCUCUUCAACUGUUUAUUCUCUUGUGAACUUUAUAUUAAAUAUGUCACAAUAUAUCCUUCCCCAAUUUGAAAAAAAUCAUUAGAUAUUGUGGUCAAGAACAUUUUAUUUAUGUUUUGUUAUAUUUAUAAUAAACUAUUUUGCGACAAAUUUUCCAAUAUUGGGAUGAGUUAUUAUAGCACAAAUAUGUAUAAAAAAAGACCUAUACAGCCAUAAUUAAAUUGUAAAGAUUUAAUCUCGGUUUUUUUAAAUUGUGUAUAUAUUAUUUGUGACGUUUUAAAUACUUUACAGCUUUCCCGGUCACAGAUGAUUAAGGUGAAUUAUUCAUCGACUGGAAUAUUGUUUUACUACUGGCCUACUGCCAGUUAUACUGCCUACCUAUAGCUAUACUACUAAUGGUACCUCAACUAAUGGUGUCUCAUAUCAUUUUGAUUAAUUAAUAAAUGAUGCUAGGACAUGUCCUUCUUCAAACGAGGCUUGUGGAGAGUAAAAAAGGCAGCGGCUUGGCUUUGGCCUUGGGAUUGCCGACGUCCAUUAGCGACGGUAAUCACUCACCAUCAGACCGUAUGCUCGUCUGCCUACACGGACAAUAAAAAAGUUACAAAGUUAUUUGAACUAGAGGUCCCGCAGUAGUCGAAAUUCGACUAUAAAUAAUUGUAACUGUAAGUUUGUACACUAUUAUGAUUGUAUUUUAUACUUCUAUAACCACAAAUUUCGCUAAGACUACACUAUAAAAAAUAUUAACAAAGGCAAACAAUAUUUAAUUUAUUCUCAAUUUGACAACAGACGUCAAGAACAAAAGUUUCACAAUAAAUAGUGUGCAAGCGUGUGUGCGUCAAAUACAUGGUAUGUAGUGUGUGUAAUGUUUUCUUUAUUGAUUUAAUGUAUCUUAUAUGCAUUAUUUAAAAAAUAUAUUAGCAUUGUGCACUUCUUCUCUAUAUUCUCUAUAAGUGUGGAAAAUUUCAUACUCCCCCGUCCGCGCAAUUUUCGUAAAAAGGGAUACAAGUUUUUGCUUCACGUAUUAAUAUAUAGAUAUAUUAUUAUCUCAAUAGUGUGCUUUUUCAAGAUCACCAAGUGCGAUUAAACGGUCGAUAAGAUAAAACGUCUUGUGCGAAUCUAUGUACAUUUCUGGAAAACAGAUAAGAAGGGUUACAACAUGUAUGUGGUUGUCCAACAUCGGUUAAGUCAGAUUUUAUGAUUUUCACUUCUAAUUGCGCGGAAUUGAGCAUUUCAUGAAACAUGUUGGAACCUUUCAUUUAGUAUUGUAUGCAUUUACAAUAAUAUAUUUAAUAUAUAAAUAAAUAAAUAAAAUAUUUUAUUUAUCAAUAAUGCAUUUCAUCCCAUGUAUCCAUAGUUUGUUGGGUUCUUGGCAUACUACUACCGCUGAUCCGGCGCAGCCUUUUGCUGGACGAGAUGGUGAAUUCUAUGUUAUGUAUCUUAAACCAUAUCACAUCGUCCCCUUAAUGGUUUUUUAUAAGCUCCUCGCUGCGUCUGGCCGUGAACAGCGAAAUACCCAUCCCGUCCAUUAAUAUCCCAAAUUUUUAUCUUGCUGAGAUAUACCUGAAAAGGAAGCUUAAGUUGGCGGUGAUUGACACCUUAGCGGCCUGGGGCUUGUCUAUUGGAAUCACAUGCGUCUGCACAGCUACAGAGCUGUUAUAUGGCUAGCAAUGCCUAAGUUAGCGAAUAUAUUGUCGCUAACAUAGAAUAACAUAAUAUUCUUAUAUUUCGAUGAAGUUGAUAUACAUUUUUUGAAGCACUUCCAAACCUUUAAUGGUUUCAAGCUAACAGAGAAGCAAUAGAAAAAGUUGAGUGAAGUUUUAAUAGAUUGAUUUUAUACAACAUUUCUUACCUAACUCGUUCAAACAGUUGAACACUCUUGUCUAGAGAAAGAUAACCUUUUAUGCCGCUUCGCGAAAUGAUAAGAUAUUGUAGUUUCAUUUGUAAGAACAGCGCUCUUCUUCUUAAUUCAUUUAUAUCAUGUUUUAUGGUAUAAUUCUAACAUAAAAUUUAAGUCUAACGUUUCUGUGAAAAAAAUUACGUACUUGCGUAUAUAAUGGGAAUAUAUUAGCGAAUACCGGAUUCGCUGGGUCCAUCUUGUUGCUGACGGAGGAACUGAAGAAUGUCAGCGGACUAGCGAUCCUGGUGUAGGCUUAAGUGGUCCCUAUCAAUGCGCAUUACAUUCAACUCCAUUCUCCGCAUUCCUAUACCUGUCUAGCUAAUUAUGUCAGAAUUCCCGACCCAUAAUUCCCAAAACUGGAAUGCACGAAACUUUCAAAGUCGUGUUAAGCUUAACGUUACCGAAAUUCUGGCACUUACCACUUCCGCAGGUCGUAUAUGAAGUUAAUGUAGAGAUAAUGCAAUGCUUCGAGUUUUCGAAGAUGAAUAUCAAAAUCAGACUUCUCAGUAAUCAAAAUGACGAAGUAGAAGCGUUGAAGUAAGUAUAUUAUGUAUGUACAUUUUCGUGCGAAAAGAUAGAGAUUUACUUUCGAGAUAUAAAGAACCCUGCUGAUAUAAUAAAUAAUCAUAUUAAUAAUAAUCAUAAUAAGGAAAAGCUGAGAGACAUGUGGAAGAGGACUGAUAUAUUUAAAAAUGCAAUGGAAAAAUUAGUUAAAAAAUCUGCGCAAAUCCUUUAAUAAAAAAAUCUGAUACUAGUAUUAUACACAAAGCUAUUGAAAAAUUAGACGAUAAAUAUAUCCCCCCAAAUCUGAAACAAAACGACAUAGAAUACAAAUUUGCAAAAGUUCUUGAAACAGAAAAAAAAGAGAGAUGGCGUAAGAAGGAACUUCACGGUAGGCACAUACAUGAUCUAGAACAAAAUCACAUUAAAUUAGGAUAUUUAUUUCCAGAAAAGGAGGGCUUUAUGGCCGCGAUUCAGGAUCAAGUGAUAAAUACAAAAAAAAUAUAGAAAAUGCAAUGUGUAAUCAAAGACUCUCAUUUACGAAAUGAUAAAUGCAGAAAAUGUAAUCGUCAAUCCGAAACCAUACAACAUAUAACAAGUGCGUGCCUGACACUCACACAAACCGAUUACACACAUAGGCACAAUCAGGUAGCUCACAUAGUUCACCAAAAGCUAGCUCUGAAAUAGCAGUUUCUAAUACCCAUAAUAUGCAGAAAACAAUAACUGAAAAAACACAUAAAUAUGCAAAAUUAAAGGAAGAAAUUACUAGAGUUUGGAAAUGAGUCAUACCAAAGUACCUUCACCACUCCAUCAAAUUAUUAGAUUUACCCAAAAAUUUAUUUUUUAUCUUGUAAAAAGCCACAAUUUUAAAUACGUGCCGGAUUGUUCGGAAGUUUUUGCAGGAUGAAACAUCAGACGAAAUUAAAACUGCUCCACUUGGCUUCGGUCCGUGGUUUUCAGUAUUUACCGAAAUUCAUAAAAAUUCGAGAAUAAUAACUUUGUACGUAAUAAUAAUAACAUUAACUUAAUAAAAAUUAAUAGUCGACUUAAAAAAAGGAUGACGUCCGAUUGGACUGUGGUUUUUUAUGUGUAUUACCUAAAAACUUUUUUCUUGUAGAUGAGCCGAUUUUGUUUUUUUUUUAGUUAUUUGAAGGAUGGUGCUUAUUUUGUGGUCCCUUAUGAAUUUUCUCAAGAUCUGAUCAGAACGUUUUGAGUUAUCCUUCUAACUAAUGGAUAGUUUAUUAACAACUAAUACAUUAAUACUGUCAUUUUAUUUUAUUGAAGUCCGUUUUAUUUUUUGAUAAAAUUUUGUUAUGCGUUUCUUAAAUUUAUUUAUUUAUUUAUUACACUUCAUGUAAACUUUACAUUGGCGGACUUAAUGCCUAAGGCAUUCUCUACCAGUCAAUUUAAUAGUAGCUAUCAAAUUAUGUCAAAUUGUUUUGAUUACUUCGAAAUUCCCCUUAGUAUGAUUCAAACGAGAAAAAUGUGUUAACUAUUUAUUUAUUUUGUAGAUAGGUAAACAAACGGGCACCUUAAGAAAUGAGGUGGAAGUUUAAAAUGUUUUAUAUAUAUAUAGCGGCAGUCUCAUCGGUAGAAAUAGGGUGCUUCUAGGUACCACAAGCACCGGUCACCGUCCUCGUCAAACCCGUCGCUUGCGACGAAGGGCUCGACGAGUGAAUUAAUCCCACAGACACAGCCCGCUGAGUUUCUCACCGGAUCUUCUCAGUGGGUCGCGUUUCCGAUCCGGUGGUAGAUUCUGCAAAGCACUGCUCUUGUAAGGGCCAGUGUUAGCAACACUUCCGGUUUUAGCCCCGUGAGCCUACACCUACAUGUUAGGUUGAAGCUGAAAUAGCCUCUCAAGGCUAAUCAGCAUAGGUAGGGAAAAAAGGCAGAAAUAGGCAGGGUGAUAGGUAUCUACCCGUGCAGAUGUACAAGAGGCUCUAGAACCAUAAAAUGUCAGUUGGCGAUCGCAGUACGUACUUAUAAUACUCAGAAUUCACUGCCCAUUAUCCUAUGAAUACAUUUCACCUUUUACGAAACCCACAGAAAGAGAUAGGGUAGUGCUAUUGUGGGUCAACACUAGCGCUUUAGCAGUACCAUAAAGCGACGUUACCGUUAUAACGCUUGCUGCUAAAUUAGUUUUCACAAGGUAAUUAUUAAGCAUAUCACUUUUGUUUUUUCGUUUACCUAAUUUCUUCAAUGAUGUAUAAGCGGUCCAUUAUAACAGGUUCAAGUGUUCGUGAUAACUUAUUAAAAAAUUGAAUUACAUCGGUAAGAGUUGAAUUCAAGGUCAAGUAGAUUCGUGUAUUCGACCAAACCGCUCGGCUAAUUAAGAUAAAAAAAUAAAAAAAACUGUCAUAUACCACAAAGCAUACGAUUCAAAAAGAUAACCUUCUGUUACUAUACAUUGCCAUAAAUAAAUUCUUGAUUUUUUUAAAAAUUACAUAUAAAAAAUAAAUUGUAAUACUAGUUUAAUUUUAGAACACAAUUUCUAGACUAUCUAUAUAAAAAUGAAUUACUGUUCGUUAGUCUCGCUAAAACUCGAGAGCGGCUGGACCGAUUUGGCUAAUUUUGGUCUUGAAUUAUUUGUAGAAGUCCAACAAGGUUUAAAAGUUCGACGUUCACAUUACACAUUCAGAUACCGUGGAUCGUCCGAGGCGGACGUGGACGCCAUUCAUUUUUAUAGUUCGUUAAAUAGCUCUGGUAUAACAUUUUGUGAUUCGUGAAACUAAAUCGAAAUGGCCCAUAAUGAACAGAAAACCGAUUUGUCUGGCGUGCACUACGCACCGCCUCAACAAAAUCCGCCUCCGUACAACAACCAGACACAGCCAGGUCUAUACCCGGCCGUUCCUUCCGUCACCCCCGCGCCCCCCCAGCAGUUCGUUACAGUUGUUCCGGCACAACAAAUGGGCCCUGAGCCCACGAACACUAGCUGCCCUUCAUGCAGUGCGGCAAUCGUCACCAGAGUAGAUCACGUGCCAGUGACUAAAACCCACCUGUUUGCUUUGCUUCUUUGCCUAAUAGGUUGUUGCCCAUGUGCUUGUAUCCCUUACUGCACGGACUCCUGCAAAGAUGCAAACCAUUACUGUCCGAAUUGCAACGCGUACAUUGGAAGCUACAAUCGCUAAAUAUUUCAGUUGGUUCAAUAGAUCAUUAACUGUAAAAAUAACAUUCUAGUUCUGUUAUUUAAUUCUAUUUUGAGCUAUGAACUGAGCAUAGCACUAAAUAGAUAUCGCUUUUUACCUUGAAGAACAAAUAGGUCUAAAUGUGUUUGAGGAUACAUAUAAAAACAGAGUUUUAUUUUACAGUAUAAUGUAUAAAUUCAGUCAUUAGUUGCCUAAGUGUUGGCUGCAACUAUACGAUUCUGAAUGUUGGUAUUUUCAAAACAAAACAUUAUCAGUGUUGAUUGUCAAUAAAUUCAAUAUGCUAAGAAAUCUACACUAUUUUUGAUGGAAAACAAUUUUUGUUAUAUUUUUUAAAGAACAAACUUUAAUGUACCUACGUUUUAGACCACACUUUGUAGUUUAAGAUACUUAAAUAUUACGCCUGUAAGCUGCAUUUUCGUAUAUUUCUUGAUCACAUUUAUUUAGUUAAUGUAUUUUAUUACAUUAUGUAAAAGAAUAAAAAAAUU